RNAcentral lists this non-coding RNA (21 nucleotides) under Caenorhabditis elegans. The record is from RNAcentral. Lineage: Eukaryota; Metazoa; Nematoda; Chromadorea; Rhabditida; Rhabditidae.
UGUCAGAACGACUCGAUCCAC